UGGCGGGGUCGUCUAAAGGUAGGACUCUGGGCCCAUUCCCCAGUUACGAUAGUUCGACUCUAUCCCCCGCAA
Molecule: transfer RNA, 72 nt
Filed under: Megasphaera elsdenii
Lineage: Bacteria; Bacillati; Bacillota; Negativicutes; Veillonellales; Veillonellaceae
Description: tRNA-Met
Rfam family: tRNA
About the family: Transfer RNA (tRNA) molecules are approximately 80 nucleotides in length. Their secondary structure includes four short double-helical elements and three loops (D, anti-codon, and T loops). Further hydrogen bonds mediate the characteristic L-shaped molecular structure. tRNAs have two regions of fundamental functional importance: the anti-codon, which is responsible for specific mRNA codon recognition, and the 3' end, to which the tRNAs corresponding amino acid is attached (by aminoacyl-tRNA synthetases). tRNAs cope with the degeneracy of the genetic code in two manners: having more than one tRNA (with a specific anti-codon) for a particular amino acid; and 'wobble' base-pairing, i.e. permitting non-standard base-pairing at the 3rd anti-codon position.
Source: RNAcentral